GUAGAUGGGCCCGACACACGUUUGAUCAAAUAUGUGCGUUAAGAGCUUCCAUUGACUCAUUUAUAGUAGGUAUUACUGCUAGGUCAUGUGCUGCUUGGGGAAACGUCACUGCUGAGUCCAGUCAUUGGCUUCAGCAGCACAUGUGACCCUGUUUGUGCAAAAGUUGACAGACAGAAACCAGAAGCCCAGUGAAGACAUCCCGGGAGCCAGAGAGUCUGUAGGAGCUGUGGGAGUAGGUAAGUAUAGAUUUUUUCACAGGUACUGCUGGGGAAAGGAGGAAGGGGGUUUAGAUAAAGAAAUCCUGGACAACCCCUUUAAAGGCAUUUCAACUUUUAUAGCAUAUGCAUUAGCUUUAGAAAAAAGUGAUCAUGCAUGUGUGGUCAAUCUCAGUCUUAUCUGUGGGAGAUAAACAGCCAAGCAAGCAGACCAUGCACCAUUUAUACGGUUCAUCUGGAUAUGCAUUAAAAGUGAUGUGUGAAAUCCUUGUGGCUAACAUCCUAGUCUUCUUCUAUUUAGCCUUCUUCUUGCUUAAUAUAUAUAUAUAUUUUUUUUUUUUUUUGAAGGGUGUCUCAACUUUUGCAGUGCUGCAGGCUGACAGAUGUUCCUCUCAGCUCCACCUUCGCCCACAUUUUUUCAAUUCAUAGUGCCACCUGGCGAUGGCUCCCACAGGAACAAAGAACCAUCCAUCCGGUGAUUUGGAACAACCAAUUCUUCAGGAGACCCAGAUGCACAUUAAAGUCAGUGAGUUUAGCUGAAUUUUAGCACUUUUUAUUGGGUAGAAGAUGUUCCACCGGUCCAGUCGGUAUUCAAUAGGUUGUUAUAUAGGAUGGAAUUCAAAGGUAAUAAAAACAAUUCUUCUUUUCAGGACCAUCAUCAUUCAGUGAGAGCAAAGUGCUAUUAUAUAGAAUGUCUCUCGGAGGAGGAUCUCCAGACAUGGUACCUAAUAGAGGAUGGUGCAGUAACUGAGACAGAUCAGCAGAAUUCAAAUGAUAGAACUUUACUC
Bufo bufo (common toad) is the source of this 1003-nucleotide long non-coding RNA. RefSeq lists it as uncharacterized. The transcript has 2 exons. The record is from RefSeq and is a predicted model, not a curated record. Lineage: Eukaryota; Metazoa; Chordata; Amphibia; Anura; Bufonidae.